This is a long non-coding RNA of Mus musculus (house mouse), 226 nucleotides long. RefSeq annotates it as predicted gene, 41932. Lineage: Eukaryota; Metazoa; Chordata; Mammalia; Rodentia; Muridae. The record is from RefSeq and is a predicted model, not a curated record. The transcript has 3 exons.
AUUAACUUCUAUAUGGAAAUUUCACUGGCAAAAGAUUUUCUUCCCUGAUUAAAAGCAUGCCUGAAAUUGUUUUCAUGCUCAUUGUGGGUGAACUCCAGUCUUCAUGAUUGCAAACCAAAUACUUGGAUAAUUGAGUCUUCUUGCUAGCAAAAUGAUACAGGCUAGUGGCCUGCACUUGGUCAGUAACCAGGAAUGAUGAGAAGUACUGCACCAUCACAGGUUUCUA